UAGGGAAUAUUGGACAAUGGGUGCGAGCCUGAUCCAGCCAUGCCGCGUGCAGGAAGAAGGCGUUAUGCGUUGUAAACUGCUUUUGCCAGGGGAUAAAAUAACUGUGCGCAGUUGAUUGAAGGUACCUGGUGAAUAAGCCACGGCUAACUACGUGCCAGCAGCCGCGGUAAUACGUAGGUGGCAAGCGUUGUCCGGAUUUAUUGGGUUUAAAGGGUGCGUAGGCGGCCCUGUAAGUCAGUGGUGAAAUAUCUCAGCUUAACUGAGAGGGUGCCAUUGAUACUGCGGGGCUUGAGUACAGAUGAGGUAGGCGGAAUUGACGGUGUAGCGGUGAAAUGCAUAGAUAUCGUCAAGAACACCGAUAGCGAAGGCAGCUUACCAAGCUGUAAACUGACGCUGAGGCAC
This 402-nucleotide ribosomal RNA is filed under the name uncultured bacterium. RNAcentral's name for it is "bacterial SSU rRNA". It matches the Rfam family "Bacterial small subunit ribosomal RNA", at positions 355 to 754 of the family's 1533-position model. The record is from RNAcentral.